AGUGAACGCUGGCGGUAGGCCUAACACAUGCAAGUCGAACGGCAGCACAGUAAGAUCUUGCUCUUACGGGUGGCGAGUGGCGGACGGGUGAGGAAUACAUCGGAAUCUACUUUUUCGUGGGGGAUAACGGAGGGAAACUUACGCUAAUACCGCAUACGACCUACGGCUGAAAUCAAUGGAUCUUCGGACCUUGCGCGUUUGAAUGAGCCGAUGGCGGAUUAGCUAGUUGGCUGGGUAAAGGCCCACCAAGGCAACGAUCCGUAGCUGGUCUGAGAGGAUGAUCAGCCACACUGGAACUGAGACACGGUCCAGACUCCUACGGGAGGCAGCAGUGGGGAAUAUUGGACAAUGGGCGAAAGCCUGACCCAGCAACACCGCGUGGGUGAAGAAGGCCUUCGGGUUGUAAAGCCCUUUUGUUGGGAAAGAAAAGCAGCAGGUGAAUACCCCGCUGUUCUGACGGUACCCAAAGAAUAAGCACCGGCUAACUUCGUG
This 492-nucleotide ribosomal RNA is filed under the name uncultured bacterium. RNAcentral's name for it is "partial 16S ribosomal RNA". It matches the Rfam family "Bacterial small subunit ribosomal RNA", at positions 29 to 507 of the family's 1533-position model. The record is from RNAcentral.